Polypterus senegalus (gray bichir) is the source of this 2387-nucleotide long non-coding RNA. RefSeq lists it as uncharacterized. Lineage: Eukaryota; Metazoa; Chordata; Cladistia; Polypteriformes; Polypteridae. The record is from RefSeq and is a predicted model, not a curated record. The transcript is spliced from 5 exons.
AUCUACAGCAAAGAGCUGUUUUCAAAACUUAAUACAGUAAUAUAUCAAAAAUACAGUAACAUACUGUAAACUAGUUAAGAUACAGUAACAUACUGUACAAGCAAGGCAUUCUGGGAUUGGUUUGAACGAGGAAGUAAGAGCGGUGCAAGUUGAGCAGAGGUUUUGAUUCAGAAAACCACAUUAGAACAUUUAGAACUUCUCUUACGUCCUGUUAAUUAUGUUAUAGCUUAUAAUUAUUUAUCUUUUUUAUCACUUCGCCUAUUUAGUUCAUUUAUUUUUAAUAUUAUUCAUUUUGCACUUUCCAUUGUUGAGUGAGACCGGGAACAGCGUGAGGCAGGAGAAUUGAAAGUUCCAGAAACAAUUCAUUACCGUUUUGACUUGAAUGAUGUCUGAGUUACAAAAAGAGAUUAAGCAAACCUUACUGUGAGUAAUACCAGGCCUUCCUGAUGAGCCACUCAAUCAGUCAGUUGAGAAAUGUGUAGGCUGAGGAGUAGAAGAUUUAAUGUACGUGAAAGAAGAGGACAUCUUAAGAGUUCAUACAACCUGUCCAGUGCCAAACUGUUCAGCGCCUGGAAAGAUCACGAACAAAGAAGCAGCAUUUUGGUUCAGUAAUUAGUUUGACCGAGGUCUCCUCAAAAUUCACCACAAAUGAGCUCCUCAGGCUCCUCAGUAAGAAAAUAGAUGGACUCACACUUCAAGCAGAUGCAUUUGCCACUUCAGCAAACACUCAACUUGCCUGACAGUCCUUAAAUUAUAAUUCUUGGUCAAACUCUAAGCAACCAGCAGUGGAUGGUGAGCAUUGAAGGCCACGUUGUAUGUGAGGGAACACAACUCAGCUUUGUCUCUGGCCGUACUGCUGUGUUUGCUUCAUGGGUGGACACUUUUUCUUUGGUGUCGUUUCUUGUGACUGAAGACAGAGAAAGCAAAAUUAAAGUUAGAAAUAUUCUUUAUUCAUACACACCAGGAAAAGGUUAAAUGGCAGAGAAACACAGCCCUAGGACACUGCCCUUCAUCUGAACCGAGGGGCCCGUGUCCCCCAUUCGUAUGGGGCUUUACGACUUUAGUUAGAUAAACAUUAUCAAAUAAUCUAAGGGUGGAGGACAUCUGUUGGGGCCUGAUGAGUCCACACCCGUUAGUCGCCCAAGAAGUAGCACUUGUCACGUACACUAUAAGCAUGCAGCGCCUGCAUGACUCCUACCACACACCCCAUAGAACAUGCUUUCUGUCACGUACAUCAGAUUUGUCAAGCACAAGUUAUUGACCUGUAUUUUUUAUUUUUCCACACAUGUUAUAAUUUUAACUUCCAAUUUAGGAAGAGACUGCAAGCACCCUUGAAUUUGUUCAAAGGUAAAACAUUGGCUUAUUUUCCAUACAUACAUUUUCAUUAAAACUGACUUACACUUCCAUCAGACUUUAUUACACACUGCCUGUAAAAUGUUUGCACACUCCUCUUAGACACACAGUCAGCUUAUUCUCCUUCUCAUACCCUAUAAAAUUGUUGUGACACACUAUUAACCACCCUGACACACACCAUGAUAUUUUUUCUAUAAAUUAAAUCGGUUAAAAGUAAAUAUUGGCAAAUUCAGUUAUGUACUUGAAUCUUUUUAAGAGAAUGCAAAUUGUUGAGAGAGCAGGAACUAAGGAACUGUUUUGAAGAUGUGUUAUGGGCUCACCUUCCCACAUGAACCUGAAGAGGAACCAUUGUAGUCAUGACAAAGUGAAUGAUUUUUUUUUUAUUUUAUAAAUAAUUAAGUACAUGUGUUUUUCUUUCUUUUUGUCAUUAAGAUGAUAUAUUGACAUCAACCUUGAACAAAUGUUCAAGGCCAAUCAAGGAAAAGCUACAUCCAAGAAGACUAGCCGAGUAGUCCAUAACAAGAAGAACGCAGUAAACCCUCAUUUUUCCUGUCUACUUUGUAAGAUAAUGGACUUUGAACAGAAUUCAUCCAAGACCACUUUGUUCACUUUUAAUUUUGACAGUUUAGGCAUUUUUUGUCUAACAUGGUGUUCUUAUUCUAUUUUAAUGUGAAGGUCAACAUUGGUGUUAUACUUUUAAAUUUAGUAUUGAAUGCUGCACUAUGUUUAUUGCCAGUGUUUCCCACCUCUGUUGCAACCAUUUGUGUUUAUCUGAAAUAAUGAAAGACUGCUAACAAUUAAAAAAACUGGUAAUGUAAAAAGCUAAUCAAGACCAUAAAAAUAAAUGUUUAUUGGAAUGUUUCAAAUGAAAGAAGCAUUAUUUGUUUAAAUGAAUCUGUGAGUAAAUAUUGCAAUGUAAUGUCCUUAUCAAUGCUGUAGUGACACUAUAAAAUGGUAUUCACAGCAUGGCCAAUGUAAAAAUACAAUACAUAACUAUAGAAAAUACAGUUCAUUUUCUCAUGCAAUUUUACAGU